Molecule: ribosomal RNA, 33 nt
Filed under: Lactarius resimus
Lineage: Eukaryota; Fungi; Basidiomycota; Agaricomycetes; Russulales; Russulaceae
Description: partial 28S ribosomal RNA
Source: RNAcentral
CCUUCUCGGGAAAUGCUCUCAACCCCACGAACC